RNAcentral lists this ribosomal RNA (307 nucleotides) under Limia nigrofasciata (blackbarred limia). RNAcentral's name for it is "12S ribosomal RNA". It matches the Rfam family "Bacterial small subunit ribosomal RNA", at positions 875 to 1350 of the family's 1533-position model. Lineage: Eukaryota; Metazoa; Chordata; Actinopteri; Cyprinodontiformes; Poeciliidae. The record is from RNAcentral. RNAcentral also lists the same sequence under 1 other name.
GGGAACUACGAGCAUAAGCUUAAAACCCAAAGGACUUGGCGGUGCUUUAGACCCCCCUAGAGGAGCCUGUUCUAGAACCGAUAACCCCCGUUCGACCUCACCUUUUCUUGUUCAUCCCGUCUAUAUACCGCCGUCGUCAGCAUACCCUGUGAAAGAAACAUAGUAGGCAAAACUGGUAAAACCCAAAACGCCAGGUCGAGGUGUAGCAUACGAAAAGGAAAGAAAUGGGCUACAUUUCCUCUUACAGGAAAUACGAAUUGUGUCAUGAAACAACACAUGAAGGAGGAUUUAGCAGUAAGCAGAAAAC